Long non-coding RNA from Lolium rigidum, 713 nucleotides. RefSeq lists it as uncharacterized. The record is from RefSeq and is a predicted model, not a curated record. Lineage: Eukaryota; Viridiplantae; Streptophyta; Magnoliopsida; Poales; Poaceae. The transcript is spliced from 3 exons.
UCACCAAAAGGCAAAUUUAAUGGCAACGGGAGACAAAGUCGACUCGACUCCGCGGCCAUCAGCUUUUCUUCUCUCUAUAUUUAUUUCUACAGCUCCUCCACCAGUACAAGUGCAUCAUCAAUAUGUUUCCAUGGUAAUGGUUCAACUUAUCUCUAGUUCUCUGUGAAUUUUCUAACUGCAGCAGGUGAAGGGAUGAAUGGAAUCGCUAUGCACUGGUGCUGGACUAUCAUACUCCUUCGUGUGCCCUCCACAGUUUAUGCAAGCUCAUAACAGGAGAUACUCUUAAGUUCUUCAAAGCACGACUGCCACUCUUAGAACAGGAAGAAAAACAGAGAAAUUAGUUGGUGAUCAAUCGUGAGCAUUUGAAUCAUCUUGGUGGUAUUGCCAAUGGCAUUCCCGGGUGGUGAUGGCGCCAUCGGGGACUAAUACUUCAGAACUUCUGAUCCACAGGUAUGCCCUGCACCGGGUGCUUCAGUGGGGGCAACACCUGACCAAGGACAUAUUUGACUCAGUUCGAGCCGGCGUGAUGAUAUGGAAGGCGUAGCAGAAUAAACAUAUAUGGGGAGCAUAUGGAUGGCUACAAACCCAUCCUCCCAUCCGUCUGCAACGUGUGCUAAGGGAUGAGCAACAUCCGCCGGCGCUCCAUCACUGGCCGCCGCUCCGGCGAUAGUGGGAAGGGGAAGAUGGCGGUAGCAUGCGGGGUUCACUAGGAG